Long non-coding RNA from Mus musculus (house mouse), 534 nucleotides. RefSeq annotates it as predicted gene, 30044. The record is from RefSeq and is a predicted model, not a curated record. Lineage: Eukaryota; Metazoa; Chordata; Mammalia; Rodentia; Muridae. The transcript has 2 exons.
CCCGGCGCGUGACCCCGCGCGUUUUUGGCUCGCGUCCCCGAGCCCCCGGGCGGAGGCACUUUUGAGCGGGAGCUGGGAGCUCGGCAUGGACUGUUAAGACUUUGGGGUCGCAUCAGUUGGCGCCAGCCCUAAGGGAAGAAAUGGAGACUGGCGGAGUAGCUUUCGAAAGAGUGACAUACUGGAGCAUCGUGGCUAUUCCUAAUGCUGCUGCUGGUCUGUGGAGGAGGAGGGGGAGUGUGGCAGAUCUGAGGAGAGUUUGGUGAGACUCUGAGUGAGAGGAAGAGAAACCGAGCUGAAUAAUGAGGCCUGGUAGAAGGAGGUCCCAAGUGCUAAUCAGCAGUGCCAGCCCUACCCUUGUGGACUCACUACCCCAAGGAAAGCUCUUCCUCAGGUCACACAAGGUGGCAGCUUCCCUUUUUCUGACAAUGGAUGACAUAGAAUCAAGCAGUGGCCAGUUUAUGCUAGGCCUUCCACGCGAACAGUAAGUCCUCAGCAAGAUGUAAAUUAAUACAGUAUAUUUGAAUCUUGCAGCCA